UACGUAGGCAGCAAGCGUUGUUCGGAGUUACUGGGCGUAAAGGGUGUGUAGGCGGUCUUUUAAGUUUGGUGUGAAAUCUCCCGGCUCAACUGGGAGGGUGCGCCGAAAACUGGGAGGCUAGAGUACUGGAUGGGAGAGUGGAAUUCCUGGUGUAGCGGUGAAAUGCGUAGAUAUCAGGAGGAACACCGGUGGUGUAGACGGCAUCCUGGACCAUUACUGACACUGAAUAGCGAAAGCCAGGGGAGCAAACGGG
This 253-nucleotide ribosomal RNA is filed under the name uncultured bacterium. Its description in RNAcentral is "partial 16S ribosomal RNA". It matches the Rfam family "Bacterial small subunit ribosomal RNA", at positions 524 to 776 of the family's 1533-position model. The record is from RNAcentral.